GGCUCAGGAUGAACGCUAGCUACAGGCUUAACACAUGCAAGUCGAGGGGCAGCAUGAACUUAGCUUGCUAAGUUUGAUGGCGACCGGCGCACGGGUGAGUAACACGUAUCCAACCUGCCGAUGACUCGGGGAUAGCCUUUCGAAAGAAAAGAUUAAUACCCGAUGGCAUAGUUCUUCCGCAUGGUAGAACUAUUAAAGGAUUUCGGUCAUCGAUGGGGAUGCGUUCCAUUAGGUUGUUGGCGGGGUAACGGCCCACCAAGCCUUCGAUGGAUAGGGGUUCUGAGAGGAAGGUCCCCCACAUUGGAACUGAGACACGGUCCAAACUCCUACGGGAGGCAGCAGUGAGGAAUAUUGGUCAAUGGACGAGAGUCUGAACCAGCCAAGUAGCGUGAAGGAUGACUGCCCUAUGGGUUGUAAACUUCUUUUAUACGGGAAUAAAGUGAGGCACGUGUGCCUUUUUGUAUGUACCGUAUGAAUAAGGAUCGGCUAACUCUGUG
RNAcentral lists this ribosomal RNA (497 nucleotides) under uncultured bacterium. RNAcentral describes it as "bacterial SSU rRNA". It matches the Rfam family "Bacterial small subunit ribosomal RNA", at positions 21 to 507 of the family's 1533-position model. The record is from RNAcentral.